UUCUACAAUUUUUUUUUGCAUGAUUGGUCCUUCAACUCAUAUGCUCUUUUUUAAAUUUUAUUUUAGAGAGAAUAAAACCAAGCAAAAUAAAACAGAAUGAAGCCAAUCAUAACAAGCCACUGUGAGUGAGACAGGACUUCAAAAAAGAAUACUUGCUGUUCUACAGAGCAACAGAGAUCCAGUCCAAAGGUGAACUUUGGAAACGCUGAAUUUCAGAGUGAUUGACAGCUGGCUUCUUGACCUCUAUCCAGAAGGGAUUGGAUUUGGAGCAGUGAGGAAGAGAAAUUGUUGGAGAAUGAGGAGCAUAGAGACAAAGAAAGAAAAAACAAAACAUGAUGUGAUCUGGUGUGCAGCUAAGUCUCUAGCUGACAUGAACAGCUUCCCCUCAGCCAUGCCACCCUGCCUUGAAGCUAGCUGAGUACGGACUGAAACAUCCAAAAUGCACCCUCUGAUGACACUGGGCCGACCUGGAUGCUCCAAGAUCAUGAUUCCACCUUGAAGUUUCUCAUCUAACCUGUAAAUUUCACUUUGUUAUAUAAGACCACGUACUUGUACAUUCUGGGGGUUACAACAGGGACGUGUUCGGGCCAUUAUUUUGCCUUGUAUGUCUACAACCUAGAAAGUUGAUUUCUGGGCAUAUGUGGCAUAUAUUCCUGAGAGCUAACUCUGAGUGAGUCAUAAAGCAUGUUUCUGCAGUGACCUGGCAGCUGUGUGGAUGCUCCACAUGGAGACAAUGGAAAAGGAACGGCAUGGAGAAUGCACAGCCCGGGAUAUUGUGCAAGAGUUAGGAGUAACAGUCUUGCUGUUCCUACACUGACAUGGAUUUCUCCUUUUAAAAAAGUGCUUAGUGAAGGAAAGUAAAAAAUAAAACAAACUGUGUAACACCGGAUCAUUUACAACAAAUUAAAAACUAAAUACAUAAAAUGACAAUUUGCAUUUUACAUGAAUACUGUUCUAGCAAAAAGAAUUUUUUUUUGCACAUUCUGGGAAUAGCAGCCAAUGGGAUUUAAGAAGAUAACAUAGUAGGAAAGAAGAAUUAAGGUGGAUAAAAUAAAAUUCUUGUUCAAAUUCUAAGCCCUCAGAGAAACCAUCCCUGACCCACCACGGCUCCAGGUAGCUGGCAGAGAUUUUAAACAAUCUUCACACACUGUUUGUACUGGUCAGCUUGCACCUCCCAUUUUACUACAAGCUCCUUGAGAGCAGGUGCUACGUCUUGUUUUCCUUUAUAUCUCUGAAGCAAGGCACAAAGCCUGCCUCACAGUGGUUGUCUAAUGUGUGCUGUGUUAAGCCAAACGGAGAACAGUGCAGAAACAAGACAUCUGGAGCGAGAUGCUCACAUGCGCUGACACUUAGGAAAGUUCCUAAGGACACCCAAAUGGGCUUUAAAGCUAUGUUUGGAACAGAAAGUUACAUCAGAAAGCCUGCUUCGUGCAGGUAAGCACAGACAAGGAUAUCGAAGAGAAGGUAAACCCCUGAUCUUCUGCUUUGCCUUCAGUUCUCAAGAUGAAAUGUGCCAAGCAAAAUGAGCAUCAGCUUGGAAAAGCAGAGUGAUAGAAAAGAAGCCCCAAGGUGGGCGAAGAGAUUGCAGGACAGUACCGAGUCUCUCUAAAUAAAUUCAGUCCAGAAGUGUGGGAGGGAUGCCGCAACCUGAAUCAGAAAAGUUAUUUCCAAAUACUUCAAAAGGCGGCAGAGGAUUCUGAGAUUCUAUAAUGAGGCUGACAUUGUUCUGGGUCAAGACUCCAGACUGAUCAUUAAAGCAAUGGUUUUGAACACUUAUAAAGAAAAUAAAAUGGUGAUCUGAAGAAGCCUGCGAGGGUUCAUUAAAAUCAGGUUGUGCCUGAGUGACCUGGCUUCCUUCGAGGACAUCAAAUGGUAAAAAGACAGGCCUGUGGAAGAUAUUUUAUGUGAGUUUUUAAAAAAGAGUUUGAUAAGCUCUCCCUCAGUGGUUUUAAAGACAUGGCAGAUGCUUGCCUUGGCAAUGCUCACACUCAAAUGGCAUUGGUUCAUGGAAUGGUGCCA
Cavia porcellus (domestic guinea pig) is the source of this 2019-nucleotide long non-coding RNA. RefSeq lists it as uncharacterized. The transcript has 4 exons. The record is from RefSeq and is a predicted model, not a curated record. NCBI's taxonomy places the organism in Eukaryota, Metazoa, Chordata, Mammalia, Rodentia, Caviidae.